This is a long non-coding RNA of Mauremys mutica (yellowpond turtle), 2381 nucleotides long. RefSeq lists it as uncharacterized. The transcript has 3 exons. Lineage: Eukaryota; Metazoa; Chordata; Testudines; Geoemydidae. The record is from RefSeq and is a predicted model, not a curated record.
UACUCUUAAAUGGGAAGAUAUGGAGCUCUUUGGUACUUUCACAGCUGGACCUUCCUGUAAUUCAGGUUAUGGUCUCUCCUAUUUGGCUAAUGUCAGCGACCACCCUGUAAUGAGGGGACAGGUAGCAAUUCGCAUUUGAAAUCUGGGGGAUUAGAAUCAUUUCCGUAACAUGGGCAGCUUGACCUCCCUGUAACUAGGGUUUGGUCUCCGAGGCCCUUUGGGUGUCUUGGCCUCGUGCUGUCUUCACAGCGUGCUGCGAAGGACCGCCCUGUCAUCAGGGACGGGUCUUUGCCCUCUAGUCUCUUGGCACUAGGCCAAAUGCAGCCACUGCCCCGAAUGAGCACCCUGUAAACAGGGUACAGGUCUCAUCAGCUGUUAUUUAUGGUGCCCCCAUGAGACUGUCCAGAGUUCCAGCCCAUUAAGCAGCGCUUGCAACGUGCCUGGAAUUCUGCAGCCAAGUCUCCUGCUUUCUACUCCCUUCUUGGACUCUUGGAGACCUGACUUGCUAUUGGUGGCAUCGUGAAGCACAAGUGGAGAAGAAGGAAGUGUCAGGAAUGCCACAGACAGAGGAGAAAAGAAGAUGGAGGAAAAGGAAAGGAACUCUGGGCACAGUACCCUCCCUCAAAUCAGCCUCAGGUCAUGUAAUUAGACUGUAUGGGAAUCUGGAGCCUUUUAAUACCUUGAGCAGAGUGACCGCCCUGUAAGCUGGGUCCCGGUCUGUCCCCUUUGGACAUUCUGCUCCGUCAUCUGGCUAGUGUGCGUGACUGCCCUGUAAUCAGGGUGCCAGUCACCUCCCCCUAAAUGUGGAGGGGCAUUGAGCUCUUUCUUUAAUUGAGCAUUGUGACCGCCCUGUAACCAGGGUCCGGGUCUCUGCCCACUUGCUCAUUUGGCAUUACGCCGUGCUCUGCCCCACUAGUCAGCGUGACAACCCUGUAAUUAUGGUUCAUGUCACAAGGCUCUCCAGAAUGGGACAUAUCGAGCUCUUUGGUACUUUCACAGCUGGACCUUCCUGUAAUUCAGGUUAUGGUCUCUCCUAUUUGGCUAAUGCCAGCGACCACCCUGUAAUGAGGGUAGAGGUUGCAUCUUGCUUUUGAAAUCUGGGGGAUUGGAAUCAUUUCCGUAACAUGGGCAGCUUGACCUCCCUGUAACUAGGGUUUGAGUCUCCCAAGCCCUUUGGGUCUCCAUUAGCUGUUAGUGAGUGUGACUGCCCUGCAAUCAGGGUGCAAGUCACCUCCCCCUAAAUGUGGGGGGGCAUUGAGCUCUUUGUUAGCUCACUGAGCAAUGUGACCGCCCUGUAACUAGGGCCCGGGUCUCUGCCCACUUGCUCAUUUGGCUUUACGCUGUGCUCUGCCCCAUUAGUCAGCGUGACAACCCUGUAAUUAGGGUCUAGGUCACAAGUUACUCUUAAAUGGGACAUAUGGAGCUCUUUGGUAAUUUCACAGCUGGACCUUCCUGUAAUUCAGGUUAUGGUCUCUCCUCUUUGGCUAAUGCCAGCGACCACCCUGUACUGAGGGGACAGGUUGCAUCUCACUUUUGAAAUCUGGGGGAUUAGAAUCAUUUCCGUAACAUGGGCAGCUUGACCUCCCUGUAACUAGGGUUUGGUCCCCGAGGCCCUUUGGGUCUCUUGGCCUCGUGCUGUCUUCACAGCAUGCUGCGAAGGACCGCCCUGUCAUCAGGGACGGGUCUUUGCCCUCUAGUCUCUUGGCACUAGGCCAAAUGCAGCCACUGCCCCGAAUGAGCACCCUGUAAACAGGGUACAGUUCUCAUCAGCUGUUAUUUAUGGUGCCCCCAUGAGACUGUGUCCAGAGUUCCAGCCCAUUAAGCAGCGCUUGCAACGUGCCUGGAAUUCUGCAGCCAAGUCUCCUGCUUUCUACUCCCUUCUUGGACUCUUGGAGACCUGACUUGCUAUUGGUGGCAUCGUGAAGCACAAGUGGAGAAGAAGGAAGUGUCAGGAAUGCCACAGACAGAGGAGAAAAGAAGAUGGAGGAAAAGGAAAGGAACUCUGGGCACAGUACCCUCCCUCAAAUCAGCCUCAGGUCAUGUAAUUAGACUGUAUGGGAAUCUGGAGCCUUUUAAUACCUUGAGCAGAGUGACCGCCCUGUAAGCUGGGUCCCGGUCUGUCCCCUUUGGACAUUCUGCUCCGUCAUCUGGCUAGUGUGCGUGACUGCCCUGUAAUCAGGGUGCCAGUCACCUCCCCCUAAAUGUGGAGGGGCAUUGAGCUCUUUCUUUAAUUGAGCAUUGUGACCGCCCUGUAACCAGGGUCCGGGUCUCUGCCCACUUGCUCAUUUGGCAUUACGCCGUGCUCUGCCCCACUAGUCAGCGUGACAACCCUGUAAUUAUGGUUCAUGUCACAAGGCUCUCCAGAAUGGGACAUAUCGAGC